This 310-nucleotide unclassified non-coding RNA is filed under the name uncultured Chaetomium. Its description in RNAcentral is "sequence contains ITS1". The stretch from base 1 to 105 matches the Rfam family "5.8S ribosomal RNA", at positions 50 to 154 of the family's 154-position model. The record is from RNAcentral. Lineage: Eukaryota; Fungi; Ascomycota; Sordariomycetes; Sordariales; Chaetomiaceae.
GAAAUGCGAUAAGUGGUGUGAAUGGCAGAAUUCAGUGAAUCAUCGAAGCUUUGAACGCACAUUGCGCCCGCGAGUAUUCUGGCGGGCGUGCCGGUUCGAGCGUCGUUUCAACCAUCAAGCCCCCGGGCUUGUGUUGGGGACCCUGCGGCUGCCCGCAGGCCCUGAAAUGCAGUGGCGGGCUCGCUGUCCACACCGAGCGUAGUAGCAUUACACCUCGCUCAGGGCGUGCGGCGUGCUCCGGCCGUUCAACGCGACCUUAACGCAUACCAAGGUUGACCUCGGAUCAGGUAGGAAGACCCGCUCAACUUAA